GAAAGAAAUUAGUAGUGAGAUGCUAAUUAAUUAAGAACAGAUAGAUCAAAAUGGUAUCAAAAUGCGACUCACGUAUAAUAGUAAGAGCAUGGCCUGAGUUAAUUGGAUACAAUGGGGAGGCUGCAGCAAGAAUAAUUGAAAGACAGAUUCUUAACGUGAACGCCGUUGUGUUGCUAGAUGGAACCGAUAUAACCAAGGGGUACUACAAAUGCAAUGACGUCUUGGUCUGGGUCGAUGAGGCCGGAAAGGUUAUCCGGACACCUACUACUGGGUAGUAGUAGUACUACAUGAUCGAUGAAUUCAUGCAUAUACAUGGCAGCGUGCAUUGUUCUAAUGAAGUAUUUACUUGGAUCGUCCACUACUAUUAAAAUUUUAAAUAAAGGAUGAUGUAUUAUGUUUGUGGUU
Molecule: long non-coding RNA, 405 nt
Organism: Papaver somniferum (opium poppy)
Lineage: Eukaryota; Viridiplantae; Streptophyta; Magnoliopsida; Ranunculales; Papaveraceae
Exons: 2
Source: RefSeq, a predicted model, not a curated record